This is an RNA transcript of Epinephelus fuscoguttatus (brown-marbled grouper), 546 nucleotides long. RefSeq lists it as uncharacterized. Lineage: Eukaryota; Metazoa; Chordata; Actinopteri; Perciformes; Serranidae. The transcript has 2 exons. The record is from RefSeq and is a predicted model, not a curated record.
UCAGCGUGGGUUUCCUCCAGGUGCUCCCACAUGUUCUCCCCGUGUCAGCGUGGGUUUCCUCCAGGUGCUCUGACAUGUUCUCCCCGUGUCAGCGUGGGUUUCCUCCAGGUGCUCUGACAUGUUCUCCCUGUGUCAGCGUGGGUUUCCUCCAGGUGCUCUGACAUGUUCUCCCCAUGUCAGCGUGGGUUUCCUCCAGGUGCUCUGACAUGUUCUCCCUGUGUCAGCGUGGGUUUCCUCCAGGUGCUCUGACAUGUUCUCCCCAUGUCAGCGUGGGUUUCCUCCAGGUGCUCUGACAUGUUCUCCCCGUGUCAGCGUGGGUUUCCUCCAGGUGCUUUGACAUGUUCUCCCUGUGUCAGCGUGGGUUUCCUCCAGGUGCUCUGACAUGUUCUCCCCAUGUCAGCGUGGGUUUCCUCCAGGUGCUCUGACAUGUUCUCCCUGUGUCAGCGUGGGUUUCCUCCAGGUGCUUUGACAUGUUCUCCCUGUGUCAGCGUGGGUUUCCUCCAGGUGCUCUGACAUGUUCUCCCCAUGUCAGCGUGGGUUUCCUCC